Molecule: transfer RNA, 63 nt
Filed under: Acanthodactylus boskianus (Bosk's fringe-fingered lizard)
Lineage: Eukaryota; Metazoa; Chordata; Lepidosauria; Squamata; Lacertidae
Description: tRNA-Cys
Source: RNAcentral
AGUCCUGUGGUGAAUUCACGUCAAAUUGCAAGUUUGAAGACGCACAUCUCGGUGCCGGGGCUU